Molecule: long non-coding RNA, 2396 nt
Organism: Oncorhynchus tshawytscha (Chinook salmon)
Lineage: Eukaryota; Metazoa; Chordata; Actinopteri; Salmoniformes; Salmonidae
Source: Ensembl
UACCUUAGUAUAUGUGACUCCCAAAAACUCUAAGAAUUUAUUCAAAGGUGCUCGCUUGUCAGAAAACUUUUAAAAGCGUGUGAUAUUCUUCCUGGGGGUGUAUAUGAACAGAUUUUGAUAUGAUUUCAUGUUGCCAAAAUGCUGUCAAUUCCACUUUAAUGCAUAUUGCAAUUGGUGGACAAAAUCCAUGGUAGUUAGUCAAGGCCAUUAUGGAGGAUAUUGUUGUGAAAUUUACAUGUUUGUUAACUUUUUUUUCAUGAAUGCAACUUUUGUUAUUCUCACUGUAAAUAUACAUUGUUGUCCUAUCUCUAGUGAUAAGCUACAGUGAUAAGCUACAGCUACGGUAUUUCCCAACUCAACAUGGCACUUGACUGAAUUACACAUUUCAUUCACAAGAAACUCUUUCUUCCUCUUUACCCAAUAAGAUACACAGCCCAGAGAGCUGAAGGGUUUAGCACUAUCUGGUCUAACAAUACUGUGGGUGUGGGUGGGUGUCCGUCCUAUCGCUCUUCCCUCCUCAGAGACAGCAAAGACAACUGCCCCCAAUUUAACCCCAGCUGUCCCCACCCACCCAACCUCACCUCGUCACAAUCCACAACAAGCCUCAAGGGUCAGGGUUCACUAAGCCCUGCCACCCACCCCCCCAUCAUGCCCGGUGUGUGUCAGUCAGGUCUUUUUUCCAGACCCCCCCCCCCCCCCCCUCCCCACAUACACACAGUCCUAACACGUGUAGCUGUGUGUCAGUCAUGUCUUUCCAGACCCCCCCCUCCCCACAUACACACAGUCUAACACGUGUAGCUAUGUGUCUUUUUGCGUGUCAGCUGCUUGAGUGAAAAUCUUCUUUUUUUCCCUCCUGAUGUCACAUUGGCAAUAAUGGAGAGAAAUCAUGGCUGGCAACUAUUUUCUUACAUUUUGUAAUGUUUUGUUUGUGUUUGGUUUUUCAACGUUGAAUUUGCGAUAUUUAUAUUUUUGUAUUAUGAGAUGUUUUUGUUUUGUUUACUUCCAUUAUUGGUCAUACAUGUCAGUGGAUAACAAAUGCAGGGAUUUUUAUGUCUAUUGAAAAACACUAUUACUAUUGUUUUGACAUGAAUGGUGUUCAAUCUGUAUAAAGUGCUUACUAAUGUUAAGUAGGGAAACCAGAGUAUAUAACAUUUACACUACAAGACUCACCAUAGCUCUUAGAGGAUUUUAAAAGGAAAAGAAACAGAUCUAUGGUUUUCUACAGAUGCCAUUUGGUCUUGGUUGGCGAGGAUAUAUAUUGUUUCAGUUACAAAGAUAAAUGUAUGCCAUAUAAUUUAUUUAUAUGAAAAUGUAUUUUUGUAGUGUACAUAGUUGUCAAGUUAUUUGACAGAAGUAUAUAUUUUUAAGAGUUUAUAUGUAAUAAUACCGUAACAGAGAAAAAUCCUACGGUGCACACUUUCAUCGCUAACUGGCUCUGACGGCAUUGACUGACUCGUCCCACUCAGUAUUAUCUAUCAUAGGGGAGAGAACUCAGCCAGCUGUUUCUAUGGGUUUGUCAAAGGCUGGCCAUGAAAGUAGAAGUUGUACCAGCUCUCUAAAUACUAAUGUUCAAACACUGAUAGAAUUCUAACAAAUACAAAUAUUAUAACUUAUUUGUCUCUUUUUUUUAAUAACUUUAAUAAAUGGAUCUUAAAGGAAUUGUUUGUUGUUGACUCAGAACAUGUUUUUGUUAAAGUCCCACUCGUUUUGAGUAAAAUAUAGUUUUUUACCUCUGAAUAUUGUUUACCAUGUACUGUAUGGUUUCACACUUUACAUUAUGUUGAACUGAUAUCAUUUAAAUGAGUAGUUACAUUAUGUUUACUUAAUGUAAAGUGUUGCCAGAACCCUUGAUUAUGGAGCAUUUCCCCCUGUACAUCACUAGGUCAAAACAUUUUAGGUGAACACUCAGGUACUCCUUGUCCAUUCCUCUCCUCUCCCACCUCGCCAUUGAAACUGGCUGACAUCUGGUCCUGAAUUCAGCAGCUCCCUCUAACAGCCACCUCCCUCGUUCCCCCCCCCCCCCCCCCUCUGCUCCCCUGUUUGGUAGGAUUUUGUAGACAGCUUUAUAACUGCAAGGAAAUUGGUUGUAGUUCCAUUUCAGCUGGUCUGUUCAGAGUAAUGAAAAAGGGCAUGUGGCCAGGAGCUAACUGAUGAAGAUCCAGUCAGACUACCUCCUCUCCCUGUUUACUGACUGACAAUGACUGGCUGGCUGGCUGACUGACUGAAUGAUUGACUAGCUGACUGACUGACUGACAAUGAUUGAUUGACUGGCUGACUGACAAUGACUGACUGGCUGAUUGACUGACUGGCUGACUGAAUGAAUGACGGGCUGACUGACUGAAUUACUAAAAUCCAGGCUCUUAAUGAACAAGUGUUUCCUGUACCUGUCCUUUCAG